UGACUUAGGGAAGUGGCUGAUGAGGCCUUGG
RNAcentral lists this non-coding RNA (31 nucleotides) under Rattus norvegicus (Norway rat). The record is from RNAcentral. Lineage: Eukaryota; Metazoa; Chordata; Mammalia; Rodentia; Muridae.